GAUGAACGCUAGCGGCAGGCCUAACACAUGCAAGUCGAGGGGCAUCACGAGGUAGCAAUACUUUGGUGGCGACCGGCGCACGGGUGCGUAACGCGUAUGUAACCUACCUAUAACAGGGGCAUAACACUGAGAAAUUGGUACUAAUUCCCCAUAAUAUUCGGAGAGGCAUCUCUCCGGGUUGAAAACUCCGGUGGUUAUAGAUGGACAUGCGUUGUAUUAGCUAGUUGGUGAGGUAACGGCUCACCAAGGCAACGAUACAUAGGGGGACUGAGAGGUUAACCCCCCACACUGGUACUGAGACACGGACCAGACUCCUACGGGAGGCAGCAGUGAGGAAUAUUGGUCAAUGGACGCAAGUCUGAACCAGCCAUGCCGCGUGCAGGAAGACGGCUCUAUGAGUUGUAAACUGCUUUUGUACGAGGGUAAACUCACCUACGUGUAGGUGACUGAAAGUAUCGUACGAAUAAGGAU
This 471-nucleotide ribosomal RNA is filed under the name uncultured bacterium. Its description in RNAcentral is "bacterial SSU rRNA". It matches the Rfam family "Bacterial small subunit ribosomal RNA", at positions 28 to 493 of the family's 1533-position model. The record is from RNAcentral.